GUGAGGAAUAUUGGUCAAUGGGCGAGAGCCUGAACCAGCCAUCCCGCGUGAAGGAAGAAGGCGCUAUGCGUUGUAAACUUCUUUUUCAGGGGAAUAAAAUUUCGUAUGUAUACGGAACUGAAGGUACCCUGAGAAUAAGCAUCGGCUAACUCCGUGCCAGCAGCCGCGGUAAUACGGAGGAUGCGAGCGUUAUUCGGAUUUAUUGGGUUUAAAGGGUGCGUAGGCGGGUCAUUAAGUCAGUGGUGAAAUCCUGCAGCUUAACUGUAGAAUUGCCAUUGAUACUGAUGAUCUUGAGUAUGGUCAAGGCAGGCGGAAUGUGUAAUGUAGCGGUGAAAUGCUUAGAUAUUACACAGAACACCGAUAGCGAAGGCAGCUUGCUGGGCCGUUACUGACGCUGAUGCACGAAAGCGUGGGGAUCGAACAGGAUUAGAAACCCUGGUAGUCC
This 445-nucleotide ribosomal RNA is filed under the name uncultured bacterium. Its description in RNAcentral is "bacterial SSU rRNA". It matches the Rfam family "Bacterial small subunit ribosomal RNA", at positions 354 to 796 of the family's 1533-position model. The record is from RNAcentral.